RNAcentral lists this ribosomal RNA (468 nucleotides) under uncultured bacterium. Its description in RNAcentral is "partial 16S ribosomal RNA". It matches the Rfam family "Bacterial small subunit ribosomal RNA", at positions 28 to 507 of the family's 1533-position model. The record is from RNAcentral.
GAUGAACGCUGGCGGCGUGCUUAACACAUGCAAGUCGAACGGAAAGGCGCUGCUCUUGCGGGGUGCUCGAGUGGCGAACGGGUGAGUAACACGUGAGUAACCUGCCCUUGACUUUGGGAUAACUCCAGGAGACUGGGGCUAAUACCGGAUAGGAGCUCCUGCUGCAUGGUGGGGGUUGGAAAGUUUCGGCGGUUGGGGAUUGACUCGCGGGUUAUCAGCUUGUUGGUGGGGUAGUGGCUUACCAAGGCUUCGACGGGUAGCCGGCCUGGGAGGGUGACCGGCCACAUUGGGACUGAGAGACGGCGCAGACUCCUACGGGAGGCAGCAGUGGGGAAGAUUGCACAAGGGGCGGAAGCCUGAUGCAGCAGCGCCGCGUGCGGGAUAACGGCCUUCGGGUUAUAAACCACUUUCGCCUGUAACGAAGCGUGAGUGACGGUAAUGGGUAAAAAAGCACCGGCUAACUACGUG